UUUCCCUGCAUAAUGAGUUGGAGCAAAUUGUUUUGGCCCAUACAUGGCAACAUUUUUCAUACGAAUUUCUAGUUACAUACAACCUAUCUUUUCAUGUCGUAAGGCCAAACCCAGUUAUACCAGGAAAUUGUCUCAGGCCAUAGCAUUAUUCUCUACAUAUAAAAACUUAAGUAAGUGUGUCCUUUUAGGUGACACAACAGAUCGAACACAACAAGCCAUGUGUAUCUUUUUCGGUACACAGUGUUGAGGACAGUGUGUAUCUAAAAGAAUACACUGGCGCUGGGAGUGUUAAUUAUUGCAUAUUUGAAACCCAAAACAUAGCUUAUGCUGUUUUAGAAGACUCAUACCUAGACUUACCUACUUUCAGUAUGUAAGUUUCUUCUAAUAAAUAUUGAGUCACUGACACAAGCUAGCUUUAUUGAGAAGCGACUGCAUCAUUUAAGCUGUGAGCCCCUGGAUGUUUAUCAAUCAUGGCCUAGCUACACAUUAAAAUUGUUUCGUUGAUCAUUACCUGCUUUGCUUUCUUCAGCAUGCACACUGAUUUUUGUACAGCAGCUUUUGUAGCCAAUAGUUACUCUUGUUUGUUUUCUAGAUUUUUCCUAAUCAGGACUUGAUUUCUUUUUGGUUAGUUACUGUCUCUCUUCUACAAUAGAGAGAGAGAGUUUGGGGCUUAUUAUUCGUUAAAGUGUUGGAAUGCUUGUGGGUUUUGAUAUACUACCACAACUCUCAAUACAAAAUUUGAUCAAACUAAACUGAUAGUGUGACCACUAGAUUUUUAUAAUUUGAACAAACUGCAGUUGUGGCGUCACUUCCUGAGUUUGCUCAAACUGUUUGAUCAAAUUAUUUGAUAGUGAAACCACGACUUUAAGGAUUUAAGUAACAUCAAUUUAAUUUGCAAUAAAAAAGAUCAUGAAGAUUUGACGAUGCUUGUAAAUACAUACACCCGAUUUAGAUAAUUUAAGUGACAGAAAUUUUUAGAUUGUCUUGUCAAAUAUACCUACAUGCAACAAAAAAUUUAAUCAAAAUUUGCAUAAAAAAAAUUGAAGUGUUUUAAAAGUUUCAAUAUGUAAAAACAUUGAACCACAGAAACGGUUUUUCUCCACAAAGAAACAAAAAUCGUAGCAACAUAUUAAUAAGUGAUACAUACGUUUAAAAAUCCAAAUGUAAAUGAAAUAUGAAAUGUCAGACAUUUUAAAAGGACACAAGACACAACAUGUCCUAUAUUUCACAAAAUGCCGAAGAAAAUCAUAAUUAUAUAAUAUAACAUAUAAUUUCCCCUAAAUUACUUUUCCCCAUAUCCAGUAUAUUUACUUUUAUGUAAAUUAUCUGUUUUUAAUUUUGAUGCAUUUAUAAUUUAAUUUAUAAGAUCUAUUCUAGUGCUGCUGUGUUUGUAUUGAACAACUGAAAUAAAUUAAAAUAAUAUUAUUACUAUACAAUAAUUGUUUAUAUUUUUUAUGAGAUAAAAGAAAUAUUUUAUGAGACUAGGUACAGUCUAGAAAGCAGACUAGUAGAAACGAAUAAAUAGUGUUUUUGUAAUCAAUACUGUUUUUCAAUAUUGAUUUUCUACAACACUUUUAUUUCUAUCACAAAAAUUGUCAAUUGUAAGAUAAACAAGAAAUAUUUAUCUGUUAUCCUCGGUCAGCAGACUUGUUUUCUUGCUGAAACGACACUUUGCAUACAAUAUUGGUAUUUAAAUAUCCCGCUCUGUCAUUCUUAAUCAUUUGACCAAUACGAACACAGAUAUCACGUGGGCAGUUCUAACCAAUAAAAUCUUGGAAUUCAUAGCGGUUAUUAACGCUUCGUCUCUACCCAUCGGCUCAUGGCCAAUAGAAGGGUAAUACGUCCAACUCCCACAGAAAACUGGCAGCACGUUGCCACUAGCGCCACUAUCGGCUUGGAUUGUAACUACAUUUUGACAAAGUCAAAUUUGCUGUAAACAUUCAAAUUUUAUUAAUUUUUGGAUAACGAGCUAAUUUUUCUAAAUUGUGUUUGUACUUUUACACAAAAAUGUCUUGCAAAAUGAGUGUGGUGUGUGCUAUGUACGGUUGUAACAAUUAUAAACAGCAAAAAGAGUACAAAUCAUUUUUUAGAAUGCCAAAAGAUAAAAAUUUAUAUGACAAACAUCUAGAAGAUGGAAUCCUGCGUUCUUAAAAAAGCUAGUUCCAGAAGUAAGCUACCAAUAAUAAACUAGAGAAUGUAUUACAAGAAAGCUAAUACUCAACAUAGCUCAAUUGCUUCAGAUAGAAACACAAAAAUGUAAAGGAAAGGGCAGAAGAGAGACACAAAAUUCAUUGAUUUAUUAAAUUUAAAAAUUGAAUUAUACAAAGGUCAAUUAAAUAAAGAAUAAAAAAAUGAUA
This 2357-nucleotide long non-coding RNA is filed under the name Diabrotica virgifera virgifera (western corn rootworm). Its description in RNAcentral is "uncharacterized LOC126884277". Lineage: Eukaryota; Metazoa; Arthropoda; Insecta; Coleoptera; Chrysomelidae. The record is from RNAcentral.